Molecule: ribosomal RNA, 553 nt
Filed under: Callinectes danae (blue swimming crab)
Lineage: Eukaryota; Metazoa; Arthropoda; Malacostraca; Decapoda; Portunidae
Description: partial 16S ribosomal RNA
Rfam family: Bacterial large subunit ribosomal RNA
Source: RNAcentral
GUCUAUUAGAAAGUGUUUAUAGUCUAGCCUGCUCACUGACAUAAAGUGUUAAAUAGCCGCGGUAUCUUGACCGUGCAAAGGUAGCAUAAUCAUUAGUUUCUUAAUUGGGAACUUGUAUGAAUGGUUGGACAAAGAAAAAUCUGUCUCUUGUAUUAAAAUUGAAUUUAACUUCUGAGUGAAAAGGCUCAGAUUAGCCAGAGGGACGAUAAGACCCUAUAAAGCUUUAUAAAUUUAUUAAUUUCUUCUAUUUUUUUUAUAAUGAGGAUGUUAAGAAGAUUUAUUUGGUUGGGGCAACCGAAGUAUAAUUAAAGAUAACUGCUAAUAGUUUAUACAAUGAUUUUUGUUUUAAUAAUAAUUGAUCCUUAAAAAGAUUAAAGACCAAGUUACUUUAGGGAUAACAGCGUAAUUUAUCCUGAGAGUUCUUAUCAAAGGAGAAGUUUGCGACCUCGAUGUUGAAUUAAAAUGUCUAUUCAGUGCAGCAGCUGAAAAAGAAGGUCUGUUCGACCUUUAAUUUUUUACAUGAUUUGAGUUCAGACCGGCGUAAGCCAGGUUG